This 259-nucleotide ribosomal RNA is filed under the name uncultured Leptotrichia sp. RNAcentral describes it as "partial 16S ribosomal RNA". It matches the Rfam family "Bacterial small subunit ribosomal RNA", at positions 96 to 354 of the family's 1533-position model. The record is from RNAcentral. Lineage: Bacteria; Fusobacteriati; Fusobacteriota; Fusobacteriia; Fusobacteriales; Leptotrichiaceae.
UGGCGGACGGGUGAGUAACGCGUAAAGAACUUGCCCUUUAGACUGGGAUAACAGAGGGAAACUUCUGAUAAUACUGGAUAAGUUAGUAUAUCGCAUGAUAUGCAAAUGAAAGCUACGGCACUAAAGGAGAGCUUUGCGUCCUAUUAGCUAGUUGGUAAGGUAAGAGCUUACCAAGGCGAUGAUAGGUAGCCGGCCUGAGAGGGUGGACGGCCACAAGGGGACUGAGAUACGGCCCUUACUCCUACGGGAGGCAGCAGAU